This 3746-nucleotide long non-coding RNA is filed under the name Solanum tuberosum (potato). RNAcentral describes it as "long non-coding RNA (STUB_LNC007491)". Lineage: Eukaryota; Viridiplantae; Streptophyta; Magnoliopsida; Solanales; Solanaceae. The record is from RNAcentral.
AUCUCGGCUGUACUAACCUUCAGUGAUCUGUAUUCAGUGAUCAAUUUCGAGAUGAAUCAAGUUCGGGCAGAGAGUUGAGUUUGAAGUUUUUUGAAGUUUGAAAGGUUAGAAGGUUUAAAUUCGAUUGUAUGUCAUUAGUUACUUGCUUAAUUCAAGAUUAAUUCUCUUUCUCGGCUAUACUAACCUUCAACGAUGUGUAUUCAGUGAUCAAUUUCGAGAUGAAUCAAGUUCGGGCAGAGAGUUGAGUUUGAAGUUUUUUGAAGUUUGAAAGGUUAGAAGGUUUAAAUUCGAUUGCAUGUCUUAGUUACUUGUUUAAUUCAUGCUUAAUUCUCUAUCUCGGCUAUACUAACCUUCAACGAUGUGUAUUCAGUGAUCAAUUUCGAGAUGAAUCAAGUUCGGGCAGAGAGUUGAGUUUGAAGUUUUUUGAAGUUUGAAAGGUUAGAAGGUUUAAAUUCGAUUGCAUGUCAUUAGUUACUUGCUUAAUUCAAGCUUAAUCUCUUUCUCGGCUAUACGUGAUCAAUUUCAAGAUGAAUGAAUUUGGAGCAAUGAUGUGUAUUGAAUUACUUGCUUAAUUCACAAUAGAUACAUGUUCAAUUCACUUGUUAGUAUUUGUGUAAUACAACUUUAUUUCACUUUUCUGAUUCAAUUUUAAUAUAAUGUAACACACUUUUAAUACAAGUUAAAUUCAUUUUUGAGUGAGCUAGAUCUUUUGUGGAGAGGUUGUGGUAGUGUUUGAUAAGAUAUGUUGAAUUUAUGAAUGAGGAGGUUUUGGAGAAGAGUUUUGAAGUUUAUAGGUGUGUGAGGUCAAGUACUCUGCUGUUGGUGGUUGAUUUGUUAUGAUUGGAUUAUUUGUUUAAAUUCUUUCUUAAUUCACUCUUAUGAUUGAUUUACUUGCUUAAUUCAUAAUAGAUUCAAGUUUAAUUCAAUCUAUAGAACACUCUCUCAUUGUUUUCUUAGUAAUUUUGUUUUAAAUUUUUCUUAAUUCACUCUUCUAAUUCAACUUUUAAUACAAUGUAAUACACUUUUAAUACAAGUUUAAUUCAUUUCGCAGUUUGUUGGUUGAUUUGUUAUGAUUAGAUUACUUGUUUAAAUUCUUUCUUAGUUCACUCUUUUGAUUGAUUUACUUGCUUAAUUCAUAAUAGAUUCAAGUUUAAUUCAAUCUAUAGAACACUCUCUCAUUGUUUUCUUAGUAAUUUUGUUUUAAAUUUUUCUUAAUUCACUCUUCUAAUUCAACUUUUAAUACAAUGUAAUACACUUUUAAUACAAGUUUAAUUCAUUUCGCAGUUUGUUGGUUGAUUUGUUAUGAUUAGAUUACUUGUUUAAAUUCUUUCUUAGUUCACUCUUUUGAUUGAUUUACUUGCUUAAUUCAUAAUAGAUUCAAGUUUAAUUCAAUCUAUAGAACACUCUCUCGUUGUUUCCUUAGUUAUUUGUUUAAAUUCUUUCUGAAUUGACUUUUCUAAUUCAACUUUAAUACAAUGUAAUACAAGUUUAAUUCAUUUUCACAGUUUGUUGGUUGAUUUGUUAUGAUUGAAUUACUUGUUCAAAUUCUUUCUUAAUUCACUUUUCUGAUUGAUUUACUUGCUUAAUUCAUAAUAGAUUCAAGUUUGAUUCAAUCUAUUGAACACUCUCUCGUUGUUUCCUUAGCUAUUUGUUUAAAAUUUUUCUUAAAUCACUCUUCUAAUUCAACUUUAAUACACUGUACUACACUUUUAAUACAAGUUUAAUUCAUUUUUGCAGUUUGUUGGUUGAUUUAUUAUGAUUAAAUUACUUGUUUAAAUUCUUUCUUAAUUUACUCUUCUGAUUGAUUUACUUGCUUAAUUCAUAAUAUAUUCAAGUUUAAUUCAAUCUAUAGAACACUUUCUCGUCGUUUUCUUAAUUACUUGUUUAAAUUCUUUCUUAAUUCACUCUUCUAAGUCAACUUUAAUACAGUGUAAUACACUUUUAAUACAAGUUUAAUUUAUUUUUUGCAGUUUGUUAGUUGAUUUGAUUACUUGUUUAAAUUCUUUCUUAAUUCACUCUUCUGAUUGAUUUACUUGCUUAAUUCAUAAUAGAUUCAAGUUUAAUUCAAUCUAUAGAACACUCUCUCAUCAUUUCCUUAGUUAUUUGUUUAAAAUUUUUCUUAAUUCACUCUUCUAAUUCAACUUUAAUACAGUGUAAUACACUUUUAAUACUAAGUUUAAUUCAUUUUUGCAGUUUGUUGGUUGAUUUGAUUAAUUAUUUAAAUUCUUUCUUAAUUCACUCUUCUGAUUGAUUUACUUGCAUAAUUCAUAAUAGAUUCAAGUUUAAUUCAAUCUAUAGAACACUCUCUCAUCAUUUCCUUAGUUAUUUGUUUAAAAUUUUUCUUAAUUCACUCUUCUAAUUCAACUUUAAUACAGUGUAAUACACUUUUAAUACUAAGUUUAAUUCAUUUUUGCAGUUUGUUGGUUGAUUUGAUUAAUUAUUUAAAUUCUUUCUUAAUUCACUCUUCUGAUUGAUUUACUUGCAUAAUUCAUAAUAGAUUCAAGUUUAAUUCAAUCUAUAGAACACUUUCUCGUCGUUUCCUUAGUUACUUGUUUAAAUUCUUUCUUAAUCCUCUUUUUAUUAAUUCAACUUUAGUAUUUUUGUAUUACCACUUUAAAUAGAAGUUUAAGCCAUUUUGAAGUUUGUUGGUUGAUUUGUUACUAUUGAAUUACUUGCUUAAUUCAUAAUAGAUUCAAGUAUAAUUCAAUUUAUAGAACACUCUCUCGUCGUUUCCUUAGAUACUUGUUUAAAUUUUUUCUUAAUUCAUUCUUCUAAUUCAAUUUUAAUAUAGUGUAAUACACUUUUUAAUACAAGUUUGGUUAGACGCAUGUUUGUAGACCACAUGGUGACCGUGAGGGGAUUGGAUUUGUUAAUUUUGAAGUAUGGUUUCGUCCUUCCCUUGUGCACACUAUUCCUUUGCCAUUUUGGUGCUUGUGCUUGCACUGCAAUUUGGAUAUCACCAUGCACUGGCAGGGGAGUUGUUGAGUCUGGCAUCUCUAGUCAUUUGUUCUAUGUGGUAUGGGUUUGGCUUCUAGCACUUUAACUGUUAACUUCUUUUUGUGCUUGUUGUUGUUGGGUCUUUCAAGAUCAGUGAAGUUUCCCUUUCAUGGAGUAGCCUUGUUUGUCAUAAUGUUGAAGUUUCUUUGUUCAGGCUUUGUAUUAGUAUCUAGCUCUUCGAUUCAGUUUUCUUCCUUGGACAGAAAGAGUCCCUUACUUUGUUGUCAAAAGUGUUGUUACAUGAAUGUUUUCAACUACGAUAACUUUUUUUACAAGUGCAUUUUUUGCUUUUAGUCCAGAUGCUUAUGUUUUGCAAUGAUCCAACUGGUGAGGACUCUUAUGGGUGUGGAUAUCUGGUAUGUACUCCCUCAGUUCUGGAUCUUUUCACACCCCAUUAAAAAUGCUCAUCUAUCUUUUGUGUUCUUGUUGCUCAUCUUUGUGGCUUCCAUUUUCUUUUUGUUUAUCACACCAGUUUGAGUUUUGUGUGUUGGAAGAAUGUAUUUAUCGUGAACUGUAUUGAAGGAUUAGAGUUGUAAAUUUUUAAGGUUAGAGUUCAGUAUGCUGGUUGUGUGGGUGCUUCCACUGCAAUCUUGAUAUCGUUUUAGGCCUUCGAGAAAAAGGGGGUUUCGAAUGGUGCAGGGAGUAUACUGCCAAUUGCAGUAAAAAUAUAUUAAACAAAUUGUACAUGGUGCAGGAAGUAUACUGCCACUUGCUUAUGCCAUUGUCGAUUCAGCGAAUGAUGCAUCUUG